RNAcentral lists this ribosomal RNA (760 nucleotides) under uncultured bacterium. RNAcentral's name for it is "bacterial SSU rRNA". It matches the Rfam family "Bacterial small subunit ribosomal RNA", at positions 62 to 818 of the family's 1533-position model. The record is from RNAcentral.
UCGACGGCAGCACGGGAGCAAUCCUGGUGGCGAGUGGCGAACGGGUGAGUAAUGUAUCGGAACGUACCUUUCAGUGGGGGAUAACGUAGCGAAAGUUACGCUAAUACCGCAUAUUCUGUGAGCAGGAAAGCAGGGGAUCGCAAGACCUUGCGCUGAUUGAGCGGCCGAUAUCAGGUUAGCUAGUUGGUGAGGUAAAGGCUCACCAAGGCGACGAUCUGUAGCGGGUCUGAGAGGAUGAUCCGCCACACUGGAACUGAGACACGGUCCAGACUCCUACGGGAGGCAGCAGUGGGGAAUUUUGGACAAUGGGGGCAACCCUGAUCCAGCCAUGCCGCGUGAGUGAAGAAGGCCUUCGGGUUGUAAAGCUCUUUCAGCCGGGAAGAAAUCACAUGGGUUAAUACCCUGUGUGGAUGACGGUACCGGAAUAAGAAGCACCGGCUAACUACGUGCCAGCAGCCGCGGUAAUACGUAGGGUGCGAGCGUUAAUCGGAAUUACUGGGCGUAAAGCGUGCGCAGGCGGUUUGUUAAGAUAGGCGUGAAAUCCCCGGGCUCAACCUGGGAACUGCGUUUAUGACUGGCAGGCUAGAGUAUGGCAGAGGGGGGUGGGAUUCCACGUGUAGCAGUGAAAUGCGUAGAGAUGUGGAGGAACACCGAUGGCGAAGGCAGCCCCCUGGGCCAAUACUGACGCUCAUGCACGAAAGCGUGGGUAGCAAACAGGAUUAGAUACCCUGGUAGUCCACGCCCUAAACGAUGUCAACUA